This 253-nucleotide ribosomal RNA is filed under the name uncultured bacterium. Its description in RNAcentral is "partial 16S ribosomal RNA". It matches the Rfam family "Bacterial small subunit ribosomal RNA", at positions 524 to 776 of the family's 1533-position model. The record is from RNAcentral.
UACAGAGGUCCCAAGCGUUGUUCGGAAUUACUGGGCGUAAAGCGUGCGUAGGUGGUUCGUUGUGUCUGUGGUGAAAGCCCCGGGCUUAACCUGGGAAUGGCCAUGGAAACUGGCGAGCUGGAGUCUGGCAGAGGGGGGUGGAAUUCCGCGUGUAGCAGUGAAAUGCGUAGAGAUGCGGAGGAACACCGAUGGCGAAGGCAGCCCCCUGGGCUAAGACUGACGCUGAGGCACGAAAGCGUGGGGAGCAAACAGG